UACGAAGGGGGCUAGCGUUGCUCGGAAUCACUGGGCGUAAAGCGCACGUAGGCGGCUCUUUAAGUCAGGGGUGAAAUCCCAAGGCUCAACCUUGGAACUGCCUUUGAUACUGAGGAUCUCGAGUCCGGAAGAGGUUGGUGGAACUGCGAGUGUAGAGGUGAAAUUCGUAGAUAUUCGCAAGAACACCAGUGGCGAAGGCGGCCAACUGGUCCGGUACUGACGCUGAGGUGCGAAAGCGUGGGGAGCAAACAGG
Molecule: ribosomal RNA, 253 nt
Filed under: uncultured bacterium
Lineage: Bacteria
Description: partial 16S ribosomal RNA
Rfam family: Bacterial small subunit ribosomal RNA
Source: RNAcentral